GAUGAACGCUGGCGGCGUGCCUAAUACAUGCAAGUCGAGCGAACAGACGAGGAUCUUGCUCCUCUGACGUUAGCGGCGGACAGGUGAGUAACACGUGGAUAACCUACCUAUAUGACUGGGAUAACUUCGGGAAACCGGAGCUAAUACCGGAUAAUAUAUUGAACCGCAUGGUUCAAUAGUGAAAGACGAUUUUGCUGUCACUUCUAGAUGGAUCCGCGGCGCAUUAGAUAGUUGGUUAGGUAACGGCUUACAACGGCAAUGAUGCGUAGCCGACCUGAGAGGGGGAUCGGCCACGCUGGAACUGAGACACGGGCCAGACUCCUACUGAAGGCAGCAGUAGGGAAUCUUCCGCAAUGGGCGAAAGCCUGACGGAGCAACGCCGCGUGAGUGAUGAGGGUCUUCGGAUCGGAAAACUCUGUGAUUAGGGAAGAACAAAUGUGUAAGUAACUAUGCACGUCUUGACGGUACCUAAUCAGAAAGCCACGGCUAACUACGUG
This 497-nucleotide ribosomal RNA is filed under the name uncultured bacterium. Its description in RNAcentral is "partial 16S ribosomal RNA". It matches the Rfam family "Bacterial small subunit ribosomal RNA", at positions 28 to 507 of the family's 1533-position model. The record is from RNAcentral.